This 607-nucleotide long non-coding RNA is filed under the name Brassica napus (rape). RNAcentral's name for it is "long non-coding RNA (BNAP_LNC001990)". Lineage: Eukaryota; Viridiplantae; Streptophyta; Magnoliopsida; Brassicales; Brassicaceae. The record is from RNAcentral.
AGGAGCCUCAGGCUUUGGAAUCUCCGGCAUCUUUGGUAACUCCGGCAUCUUUGGCAACUCAGGCUUUGGAAUCUCUGGCAUUUUUGGUAACUCUGGCUUCUGAAUCUCUGGCAAUUUAGGAGCCUCAGGCUUUUGAACCUCUGGAAUCUUUGGUAACUCAGGCUUAGGAACCUCCGGCAUCUUUGGUAGCUCAGGCUUCUGAAUCUCCGGCACCUUUGGCAGCUCAGGCUUUGCAAUCUCCGGCACCUUUGGUAGCUCCGGCUUCUGAAUCUCUGGCAUCUUUGGCAACUCAGGCUUAGGAACCUCCGGCACCUUUGGUAGCUCCGGUUUUUGAAUCUCCGGCACCUUUGGUAGCUCCGGCUUUGGAAUCUCUGGCACCUUUGGCAGCUCGGGCUUUGGGAUCUCCGGCACCUUUGGUAGCUCAUGCUUUGGAACCUCCGGCAACUUAGGAGCCUCAGGCUUCGGAGUCUCCAUCAACUUAGGCAUCUCAGGCUUAGGAACCUCUGGCAUCUUCGGCAAUUCGGGUUUUGGAAUCUCCGGGAACUUAGACAACUCAGGCUUGGGAAUCUCUGGCAUUUUUGGUAACUCAGGCUUUGGGAACUCAGGU